GACGAACGCUGGCGGCGUGCUUAACACAUGCAAGUCGAACGGAAAGGCCCCUUCGGGGGUACUCGAGUGGCGAACGGGUGAGUAACACGUGAGUAACCUGCCCUUGACUUCGGGAUAACUUCAGGAAACUGGGGCUAAUACCGGAUAGGAAUCCUUGCUGCAUGGUGGGGGUUGGAAAGCUUCGGCGGUUUUGGAUGGACUCGCGGCUUAUCAGCUUGUUGGUGGGGUAGUGGCUUACCAAGGCUUUGACGGGUAGCCGGCCUGAGAGGGCAACCGGCCACAUUGGGACUGAGAUACGGCCCAGACUCCUACGGGAGGCAGCAGUGGGGAAUAUUGCACAAUGGGCGGAAGCCUGAUGCAGCAACGCCGCGUGCGGGAUGACGGCCUUCGGGUUGGAAACCGCUUUCAGCAGGGGCGAAGCUUGUGGUGACGGUACCUGCAGAAGAAGCACCGGCUAACUACGUG
This 465-nucleotide ribosomal RNA is filed under the name uncultured bacterium. RNAcentral describes it as "partial 16S ribosomal RNA". It matches the Rfam family "Bacterial small subunit ribosomal RNA", at positions 28 to 507 of the family's 1533-position model. The record is from RNAcentral.